AAUGAAUCUAAACAGUUCAUUGCGUUUGAUCUCGAUCGUUCGAUCGCGCUUACAGGAGAAAUGAAUAUGGAUUGUUCAUCACGUUUGAUCUUGAUCGUUUAAUCGCACCUAAGAAAAAAAUAGAUCCGGAUCGUUCAUGCAUGCGAGAUCGAUCCUGUACCGUCCGAUCGUGGGGCACGCAGAUCGCCAGCAUAACCUCCUGCAUGGCGCCGAUGUCAACGCGCCUAGUCAUACGGUGCGCUCCGGUUCGUCGAGACUGCUGACUGCGCAGUCCUACAUGGUCGAAUUAUUUUUAUUUGCAC
Molecule: long non-coding RNA, 302 nt
Filed under: Carica papaya (papaya)
Lineage: Eukaryota; Viridiplantae; Streptophyta; Magnoliopsida; Brassicales; Caricaceae
Description: long non-coding RNA (CPAP_LNC012161)
Source: RNAcentral